RNAcentral lists this ribosomal RNA (497 nucleotides) under uncultured bacterium. Its description in RNAcentral is "partial 16S ribosomal RNA". It matches the Rfam family "Bacterial small subunit ribosomal RNA", at positions 28 to 507 of the family's 1533-position model. The record is from RNAcentral.
GAUGAACGCUGGCGGCGUGCCUAAUACAUGCAAGUCGAGCGAACAGACGAGGAGCUUGCUCCUCUGAUGUUAGCGGCGGACGGGUGAGUAACACGUGGAUAACCUACCUAUAAGACUGGGAUAACUUCGGGAAACCGGAGCUAAUACCGGAUAAUAUAUUGAACCGCAUGGUUCAAUAGUGAAGGACGGUUUUGCUGUCACUUAUAGAUGGAUCCGCGCCGCAUUAGCUAGUUGGUAAGGUAACGGCUUACCAAGGCAACGAUGCGUAGCCGACCUGAGAGGGUGAUCGGCCACACUGGAACUGAGACACGGUCCAGACUCCUACGGGAGGCAGCAGUAGGGAAUCUUCCGCAAUGGGCGAAAGCCUGACGGAGCAACGCCGCGUGAGUGAUGAAGGUCUUCGGAUCGUAAAACUCUGUUAUUAGGGAAGAACAAAUGUGUAAGUAACUAUGCACGUCUUGACGGUACCUAAUCAGAAAGCCACGGCUAACUACGUG